AUAUUGGACAAUGGGGGGAACCCUGAUCCAGCGACGCCGCGCGAGUGAAGAAGUAUCUCGGUAGGUAAAGCUCUAUCAGCAGGGCAGAANGAACUGACGGUACCUGCGUAAGAAGCCCCGGCUAACUACGUGCCCGCAGCCGCGGUAACACGUAGGGGGCAAGCGUUAUCCGGAAUUACUGGGUGUAAAGGGAGCGUAGACGGUGAUGUAAGUCUGGAGUGAAAGGCGGGGGCCCAACCCCCGGACUGCUCUGGAAACUAUGUGACUGGAGUGCAGGAGAGGUGAGCGGAAUUCCUAGUGUAGCGGUGAAAUGCGUAGAUAUUAGGAGGAACACCAGUGGCGAAGGCGGCUCACUGGACUGUAACUGACGUUGAGGCUCGAAAGCGUGGGGAGCAAACAG
RNAcentral lists this ribosomal RNA (400 nucleotides) under uncultured bacterium. RNAcentral describes it as "bacterial SSU rRNA". It matches the Rfam family "Bacterial small subunit ribosomal RNA", at positions 361 to 775 of the family's 1533-position model. The record is from RNAcentral.